UUGUAAGCGUAGGUGGUUGCAGUAUAUAAAAACUUUUAUAUUACUGAGGAAAGUCCGGGCUUUAAGUUGAAAAUAUUGCUGGAUAAAUUCCAGAAUGAUAGAUCAUUAGCAAAGCACUACAGAAAAUAUUCUAAUAACUUUAAUUUAAAGUUAUUAAAGUUGCAACGGUAUAUUACCUCUAAUAUUGUGAAAUAUUAUGGCAGUAAGCCUCAAUAAAAAGCAAGGUCUAUAUGAUUUAAAGCUAAAAAUAAAUUUUGUGCUUGAAAAACCGCAUAAAGUAUUUAGUAAUAAAUACUUUAAGAUAAAUAACCACCCUUGAAAAGAAAUUUCAAGAACUAAACCCGGCUUAUGUCUUACAUAAAA
This is a non-coding RNA of Galdieria sulphuraria, 363 nucleotides long. The record is from Rfam. Lineage: Eukaryota; Rhodophyta; Bangiophyceae; Galdieriales; Galdieriaceae.